CGCAAAGCAUUAAAGAUAGUGUUGGCUUAAAUGAGCCACCAUCCUGUUCUGUGGUGGGAGACCAUGUUAGGUCGAGUCAUAUUCGAAAUGGCAUGAGGCUGGGUGGGCCGAAUCAUGUUCGAAUUGGCGUGAGGCUGGUUGGGCCGAGUCACAAUUGAGAUUUGUGGGCGCUGUAUCUGUACGCUUUAAGUGAAUUGGUUGUGUAUUUCUAACAGCUCGAGCUUUUGGAAUUAAUGAUUAGCGCCAACGAUCCAACAAGUGGUAUCAGAGCCAGAGGUUAUGGGUUCGAUUUUCGCAUGCUGCAAUUAUGUGCAGGUGUUGGAGGAGGAAUUGUUGGCUUAAAUGGGCUAGCAUCCUGCCCUGUGGCGGGAUGCCAUGUUGGACUGAGUCAUAUUCGAAAUGGCGUGAGGCUGGGUGGGCCGAGUCAUGUUCGAAGUGACAUGAGACUGGUUGGGCCGAAUCACAAUCGAAAUCCGUCGGUGUUGUAUCUAUACGUUUUAAGUGAAUUGAUUGCGUAUUUGUAACAGCUGGAGCUUUUGGGAUUAAUUGUUAGAGCCAACGAUCCGACAGUUAGUCCAUUUGAAAAAAAAAAAAAAUUUUUCAAACUAUUGCUAGUCCAAAAAACGAAAUUAGGAUAAAAAUAUAUAACGGUAUGCUUAUGUGUUUUCUAGCAGAACCAUAAAAAUUAUACAAUAAUUAUAGAAUCAUUGCGAUUUAUCAAAUAUAAUAGUUUUAGAAAACAAACAAAAUGUUUUCCAUCAGUUUUUCACUACACGUAUUACAUUUUUAGUAUAAUUCCAAACGAAUCCU
Molecule: long non-coding RNA, 810 nt
Filed under: Ananas comosus (pineapple)
Lineage: Eukaryota; Viridiplantae; Streptophyta; Magnoliopsida; Poales; Bromeliaceae
Description: long non-coding RNA (ACOM_LNC005797)
Source: RNAcentral